UGUGUGAGUACCUGCCCUGCCUAAAGCGAAACUGCAGAUAGCUCAUUAUAUCGGCCUUAAUCAAUAAGAUUAACGGUCUCAGACACUCGGAUAACCGUGGUAAUUCUAGAGCUAAUACGUGCAUUUGAGCCCCGACGACCCGCGUCAGUGCGCGCGGGGAGAACGGGCGCAUUUAUUAGAAUCCAAAAACCGAUGGGAGGCGGGAUGCUAGCGGCGAGAAGCGAAAAAAACGAAAGAAGCGGCCGCCGGGGGCUAAAAAAGUCAACCGUUUGCGGUACCGAUUCUUUACGAAAUCCACCUUCUCGUCGGUACUCCCUCACUAUCAAACCAAUUUUUGCGAUGACUCCGGAUAAACCAGGCUGAGCGCUAAGGCCCUAGAGCCGGCGCCUUUCUUCCGAGUGUCUGCCCUAUCAGGCUGUCGAUUGUAGCCUAUUGGCUCACGAUGGUGGUGACGGGUAACGGGGAAUCAGGGUUCGAUUCCGGAGAGGGAGCCUUAAAAACGGCUACCACAUCUAAGGAAGGCAGCAGGCGCGCAACAUACCCACUCUUCACUCGAGGAGGUUGUGACUAAAAAUAACGAGGCGAGCUUCAAACCGAGGCCCCGCCAUCGGAAUGAGAUCACCUCAAAUCCUUGUACGAGGAUCUAUCGGAGGGCAAGUCUGGUGCCAGCAGCCGCGGUAAUUCCAGCUCCAAUAGCGUAUAUAAAAUUUGUUGCGGUUAAAACGCUCGUAGUUGAGUUUCUAGUUCGACGUACAGGGAGUAAUUCUUGGGGCGAGCGUCCUUCUCCGCGCCUCGUACUUCCCCCCUGCGCUUAAAAAUGAAGGACCCCGAGAGACAAAAAGGGAAAAACUUCCGAAUAAAACCGGCCCCCGCUCGGCGAGGAGAAACUCUCUCUCUCGUUCGCGAGUGGUGUGUCGGAAAAGAAAAAGUUUUCUCUCUCUCGGCAACUUCGGCUCUCGGGGGGCGAGAACGCAGGAGUUAGAGAACGUUUAGUCAGUAUAGAAUGUCCCUGCAAACAGUCGAGCUAUGUUUCGUUAAAAAAACUGAACGUCGGCUUUUCAGGGCGAGCGUACUUUUAACCAAAGUGCCUCGUCGCUGGAGCCGGCAUGUUCACUUUGAAAAAAUUAGAGUGCUCAAAGCGGGCCCAAAGAAUAUUUCCAAAUAUCGCCCGAAUGUACUCGCAUGGAAUGAUGGAACAGGACCUCGGUGUAGUUAAAGGAAAUUUUUUAUUCCAUCGGUUUUUAUCUAGAUCGAGGUAAUGAUUAAAGGGAACUGCCGGGGGCUUAAGUAUUGCGACGCGAGGGGUGAAAUCCGUUGACCGUCGCAAGACUACCUAAAGCGAAAGCAUUUGCCAAGAAUGUUUUCAUUAAUCAAGAACGAAAGUUAGAGGAUCGAAGGCGAUUAGAUACCGCCCUAGUUCUAACUGUAAACGAUGCUAACUAGCAAUCCGCUUGAGUCAUACCCACGACUUAGCGGGGACCCCCGGGAAACCAAAGUUUUGGAGUUCCGGGGGGAGUAUGGUUGCAAUAUUGAAACUUAAAGGAAUUGACGGAAGGGCACCACCAGGAGUGGAGCCUGCGGCUUAAUUUGACUCAACACGGGGAAACUCACUAGGCCCGGACAUCGAAAAGAUUGACAGUUCGAGAGCGCUUUCAUGAUUCGAUGGGUGGUGGUGCAUGGCCGUUCUUAGUUGGUGGAGUGAUUUGUCUGGUUGAUUCCGAUAACGAACGAGAUUCCGUCCUACUAAGUAGUCGGCGAAUCGUCUCCCGACGCGGGGCCCCUAAAAAAAGAGGGAGAUUAGUGGCGGGGUCAGGUGUCGUUUUUGGUGAAGGAAAGUGUCGCAGUUGGGGAAGUCCGGCGUCGCCGGACGUAGUUCUCGCGUUACCGUUGCGGUGACCGUACCGGAGCCUCGCACGCGCCGUAAUAGCGCGGAGCGUAGGUGGCCGCAGGCCCCGGGCGGAACGCGUUGUUUCUACGUCACGAGCGGCGUAACGGAUCCCUCCCCUCUCCCGCUUCUUGAUCCUUAACCGCCCUACCGGCGCUAUUUCUCGAUCUUCGCGAAACCCCACUAAGCGCGCGGGACGUUCGUCGAAACUUCUUCUUAGCGGGAUCGGCGGCAUUUAGCCGUACGAAAGUUGGAGCAAUAACAGGUCUGUGAUGCCCUUAGAUGUCCUGGGCCGCACGCGCGCUACAAUGAAGGGCGCAGCGUGCUUUCCUUCUCCGAAAGGAGUGGGUAACCCCCUGAAACCCUUUCCCGAUAGGGAUCGGGAAUUGUAAGUGUUUCCCAUUAACGAGGAAUUCCUAGUAAGCGCGAGUCAUAAGCUCGCGCUGAUUACGUCCCUGCCCUUUGUACACACCGCCCGUCGCUAC
Molecule: ribosomal RNA, 2370 nt
Filed under: Tachaea chinensis
Lineage: Eukaryota; Metazoa; Arthropoda; Malacostraca; Isopoda; Corallanidae
Description: partial small subunit ribosomal RNA
Rfam family: Eukaryotic small subunit ribosomal RNA
Source: RNAcentral